UGGAUAUGCGUCGAGUAGGUGGGGUAUUGGGAAGUUGCAGGCCGAGGUUCACGUUCGAAUAGGGCCAUGACAGUGACUUUUAGAUAUGUUAUGAGGGCCCUGUACAAGUCUUCUCUUCCGCACUUGUGUUUCGUGUGAACUUUCAUACAUUUUCUGUACAUUGAACAAAAUCAUAACUUUCGUAACUCGGAGAAAAGUGUUAUAUGUGUUCACCCGCGCAAUGGAUUAUUGUGAAAUGAACAGAAUAUGUUUAUUUACAGCGAUAUAAUGCAACAGUCAAUUUUAAUCGUCACUGGUCAGUGGUGUAGCUGGAGGCGGUGAAAUAUGAAGUGAAUUGAAAAUUAGUGGUUGAAAAUAACAGUUAUCACAGAUGGCCUUCUUUUAAAUCUGUUGCUGCAGUACUGAGGACAAUUAAUUUUUAUCACUUCGACAGUGUCAUAUUAGGAGCAUCGUUAUAGUGUAAUGAAUGUUACUCAUUUUGAAUUAUAAAAUUGGCGACUGAAGGAGUUUGACGCCCGUUGUGUUGUGGUUGUAGUGUAAUAAGGACAUAACAUCGGUACAUAACAGUACAUCAUUUCUGUCGUUGGAUAAGUGUCAGACUGCAUUUCAUCUCCAUCUCUUUGAUAAUUUCUGUGGCGUGUAUGACCCGAUGAGAUCUGACCCCUGGGAAACUGCCUGGAACUGUCACCUGACUGCAACCGGUGCCAUGUUGUGAGGCGCGGUAAGAGUGGGCUGCAGGUUUGAUGCAACAUGAAGACCGGAACGAUGUUGGUGGCCUUCCUCACCCUCUGGACCACAGCGGUGGACGCCCUGGACACCUCCCAGUGCAUUGCACCUCUGGGGAUGGAGUCGGGAGCGAUUCGAGACGAAGAUAUUACCGCGAGCUCCUCCUU
This is a long non-coding RNA of Cryptotermes secundus, 893 nucleotides long. RefSeq lists it as uncharacterized. The record is from RefSeq and is a predicted model, not a curated record. The transcript has 4 exons. Lineage: Eukaryota; Metazoa; Arthropoda; Insecta; Blattodea; Kalotermitidae.